Molecule: ribosomal RNA, 732 nt
Filed under: uncultured Leptotrichia sp.
Lineage: Bacteria; Fusobacteriati; Fusobacteriota; Fusobacteriia; Fusobacteriales; Leptotrichiaceae
Description: bacterial SSU rRNA
Rfam family: Bacterial small subunit ribosomal RNA
Source: RNAcentral
GAUGAACGCUGACAGAAUGCUUAACACAUGCAAGUCUUUGGCAAAUCUGUGCUUGCACAGCCUAGCCAAGGCGGACGGGUGAGUAACGCGUAAAGAACUUGCCCUGCAGAUAGGGAUAACAGACGGAAACGACUGAUAACACCUGAUACAAUUGCCGGCACGCAUGUGCCUGGCAAUGAAAAGAGAUGCUGCAGGAGAGCUGUGCGUCCUAUUAGCUUGUUGGUGAGGUAACGGCUCACCAAGGCGAUGAUAGGUAGCCGGCCUGAGAGGGUGAACGGCCACAAGGGGACUGAGAUACGGCCCUUACUCCUACGGGAGGCAGCAGUGGGGAAUAUUGGACAAUGGGGGCAACCCUGAUCCAGCAAUUCUGUGUGCACGAAGAAGGUUUUCGGAUUGUAAAGUGCUUUCAGCAGGGAAGAAGAAAGUGACGGUACCUGCAGAAGAAGCGACGGCUAAAUACGUGCCAGCAGCCGCGGUAAUACGUAUGUCGCAAGCGUUAUCCGGAAUUAUUGGGCAUAAAGGGCAUCUAGGCGGCCAGACAAGUCUGGGGUGAAAACUUGCGGCUCAACCGCAAGCCUGCCCUGGAAACUGUUUGGCUAGAGUGCUGGAGAGGUGGACGGAACUGCACGAGUAGAGGUGAAAUUCGUAGAUAUGUGCAGGAAUGCCGAUGAUGAAGAUAGUUCACUGGACGGCAACUGACGCUGAAGUGCGAAAGCUAGGGGAGCGAACAGG